This 570-nucleotide long non-coding RNA is filed under the name Pan troglodytes (chimpanzee). RNAcentral's name for it is "lincRNA". Lineage: Eukaryota; Metazoa; Chordata; Mammalia; Primates; Hominidae. The record is from RNAcentral.
GCAUGCCUGUAAUCCCAGUUACUUGGGAGGCUGAGGCAGGAGAAUUGCUUGAACCCAGGAGGCGGAGGUUGCAGUGAGCAGAGGUUGUGCCAUUGCACUCCAGCCUGGGCAAUAAGAGUGAAACUCCAUCUCAAAAAAAAAAUUAUAAUAUACAUAUACAAUGCAGUAUUACACAGCUGUGAAAAAGAACGAGGAAGCUAUGUACUGAUGUAUAAAGCUCUCUAAGGUGUGUUGUUAAAUGAAAAAGGUAAAGAAGAGAGCAUGUUACCAUGUAUCAAAAAAUUGAGAGGAAGCAUAUAUAUAUAUGCUUUUAUAUAUAUAUAUAAGCAUAUAUAUAUAAGCAUAUAUAUAUAUAAUCAGAUAUAUAUAUCUGAUUUUGCCACUGUAAGCAUUUAAAACACCAGUGGAAUGUCCAAGAAAUUAAGAAGAGGAGUUACCUAUUGGAGGAGAGAACCAGGUAGAUAUAUGGCAGGUGUGGGAGGGAGAGCUCUCACUAAAUAUUUUUAUGCUUUAAAUAUUUUUAACCGUAUGUGUAUUACCUAUUCAAUAAUAAAUGCACCCAUUUGUUAG